Molecule: ribosomal RNA, 1489 nt
Filed under: Lactiplantibacillus plantarum
Lineage: Bacteria; Bacillati; Bacillota; Bacilli; Lactobacillales; Lactobacillaceae
Description: bacterial SSU rRNA
Rfam family: Bacterial small subunit ribosomal RNA
Source: RNAcentral
GACGAACGCUGGCGGCGCGCCUAAUACAUGCAAGUCGAACGAACUCUGGUAUUGAUUGGUGCUUGCAUCAUGAUUUACAUUUGAGUGAGUGGCGAACUGGUGAGUAACACGUGGGAAACCUGCCCAGAAGCGGGGGAUAACACCUGGAAACAGAUGCUAAUACCGCAUAACAACUUGGACCGCAUGGUCCGAGUUUGAAAGAUGGCUUCGGCUAUCACUUUUGGAUGGUCCCGCGGCGUAUUAGCUAGAUGGUGAGGUAACGGCUCACCAUGGCAAUGAUACGUAGCCGACCUGAGAGGGUAAUCGGCCACAUUGGGACUGAGACACGGCCCAAACUCCUACGGGAGGCAGCAGUAGGGAAUCUUCCACAAUGGACGAAAGUCUGAUGGAGCAACGCCGCGUGAGUGAAGAAGGGUUUCGGCUCGUAAAACUCUGUUGUUAAAGAAGAACAUAUCUGAGAGUAACUGUUCAGGUAUUGACGGUAUUUAACCAGAAAGCCACGGCUAACUACGUGCCAGCAGCCGCGGUAAUACGUAGGUGGCAAGCGUUGUCCGGAUUUAUUGGGCGUAAAGCGAGCGCAGGCGGUUUUUUAAGUCUGAUGUGAAAGCCUUCGGCUCAACCGAAGAAGUGCAUCGGAAACUGGGAAACUUGAGUGCAGAAGAGGACAGUGGAACUCCAUGUGUAGCGGUGAAAUGCGUAGAUAUAUGGAAGAACACCAGUGGCGAAGGCGGCUGUCUGGUCUGUAACUGACGCUGAGGCUCGAAAGUAUGGGUAGCAAACAGGAUUAGAUACCCUGGUAGUCCAUACCGUAAACGAUGAAUGCUAAGUGUUGGAGGGUUUCCGCCCUUCAGUGCUGCAGCUAACGCAUUAAGCAUUCCGCCUGGGGAGUACGGCCGCAAGGCUGAAACUCAAAGGAAUUGACGGGGGCCCGCACAAGCGGUGGAGCAUGUGGUUUAAUUCGAAGCUACGCGAAGAACCUUACCAGGUCUUGACAUACUAUGCAAAUCUAAGAGAUUAGACGUUCCCUUCGGGGACAUGGAUACAGGUGGUGCAUGGUUGUCGUCAGCUCGUGUCGUGAGAUGUUGGGUUAAGUCCCGCAACGAGCGCAACCCUUAUUAUCAGUUGCCAGCAUUAAGUUGGGCACUCUGGUGAGACUGCCGGUGACAAACCGGAGGAAGGUGGGGAUGACGUCAAAUCAUCAUGCCCCUUAUGACCUGGGCUACACACGUGCUACAAUGGAUGGUACAACGAGUUGCGAACUCGCGAGAGUAAGCUAAUCUCUUAAAGCCAUUCUCAGUUCGGAUUGUAGGCUGCAACUCGCCUACAUGAAGUCGGAAUCGCUAGUAAUCGCGGAUCAGCAUGCCGCGGUGAAUACGUUCCCGGGCCUUGUACACACCGCCCGUCACACCAUGAGAGUUUGUAACACCCAAAGUCGGUGGGGUAACCUUUUAGGAACCAGCCGCCUAAGGUGGGACAGAUGAUUAGGGUG